GGCCCUGAGGGGCAGGAUUGUCGGCUGGUUGCCGACGGUUGACCUUUGAGCAUAUCAGCAUUGACCGCCCGAGACUCGUUCGCAUUUCACGAACACCAGCGGUCUGAUCCACCGCAAGAGGGUGUUCUUUUUCGAAAAAGUGGUUGCAGGUGUCAACCCGUGAGCCCCCGAGGGGUUAUAUGCAUGGUAGAGUGGCAGUGGGCACGCUUGAGGUCUGCGGUGCUGACCAACAGAGCACAGAUUUCGGAUUGGG
Molecule: long non-coding RNA, 253 nt
Filed under: Ananas comosus (pineapple)
Lineage: Eukaryota; Viridiplantae; Streptophyta; Magnoliopsida; Poales; Bromeliaceae
Description: long non-coding RNA (ACOM_LNC019944)
Source: RNAcentral